CCCUUAGAUGUUCUGGGCCGCACGCGCGCUACACUGAUGCAUUCGACAAGCCUAGCCUUGACCGAGAGGUCCGGGUAAUCUUUGAAACUGCAUCGUGAUGGGGCUAGAUUAUUGCAAUUAUUAAUCUUCAACGAGGAAUGCCUAGUAAGCGUGAUUCAUCAAAUCGCGUUGAUUACGUCCCUGCCCUUUGUACACACCGCCCGUCGCUCCUACCGAUUGAAUGUGUUGGUGAGGAGCUCGGAUUGGCAGCAGUUGGUGGUUCGCCACCGGCUAUUGCUGAGAAGUCCUCCAAACCGCCCCAUUUAGAGGAAGGAGAAGUCGUAACA
Molecule: ribosomal RNA, 326 nt
Filed under: uncultured eukaryote
Lineage: Eukaryota
Description: partial 18S ribosomal RNA
Rfam family: Eukaryotic small subunit ribosomal RNA
Source: RNAcentral